UGGGGAAUUUUGGACAAUGGGCGAAAGCCUGAUCCAGCAAUGCCGCGUGUGUGAAGAAGGCCUUCGGGUUGUAAAGCACUUUUGUCCGGAAAGAAAUCCUUGGCUCUAAUACAGUCGGGGGAUGACGGUACCGGAAGAAUAAGCACCGGCUAACUACGUGCCAGCAGCCGCGGUAAUACGUAGGGUGCAAGCGUUAAUCGGAAUUACUGGGCGUAAAGCGUGCGCAGGCGGUUUGCUAAGACCGAUGUGAAAUCCCCGGGCUCAACCUGGGAACUGCAUUGGUGACUGGCAGGCUAGAGUAUGGCAGAGGGGGGUAGAAUUCCACGUGUAGCAGUGAAAUGCGUAGAGAUGUGGAGGAAUACCGAUGGCGAAGGCAGCCCCCUGGGCCAAAUACUGGCGCUCAUGCACGAAAGCGUGGGGAGCAAACAGGAUUAGAUACCCUGGUAGUCCACGCCCUAAACGAUGUCAACUAGUUGUUGGGGAUUCAUUUCCUUAGUAACGUAGCUAACGCGUGAAGUUGACCGCCUGGGGAGUACGGUCGCAAGAUUAAAACUCAAAGGAAUUGACGGGGUCAUAGCUGUUUCCU
RNAcentral lists this ribosomal RNA (586 nucleotides) under uncultured bacterium. Its description in RNAcentral is "partial 16S ribosomal RNA". It matches the Rfam family "Bacterial small subunit ribosomal RNA", at positions 355 to 1375 of the family's 1533-position model. The record is from RNAcentral.